GACGAACGCUGGCGGCGUGCUUAACACAUGCAAGUCGAACGGAAAGGCCCUGCUUUUGUUGGUUUCUCGAUUGGCGAACGGGUGAGUAACACGUGAGUAUCCUGCCCUUGACUUUGGGAGAACUUCAGGAAACUGGGGCUAAUACCGGAUAGGAUCUCCUGCUGCAUAUUGUGGGUUAGAAAGUUUCGGCUUUUGGAGAUUGACUCGCUGCUUAUCAGCUUGUUGGUCGGGUAGGUGCUUACCAAGGCUUUGACGGCUAGCCGGCCUGAGAGGGUGACCGGCCACAUUGGGACUGCGAUACGGAGCAGACUGCUAUGGGAGGCAGCAGUGGGGAAUCUUGCACAAUGGGGGGAAGUCUGAUGUAGAAACGUCGCGUGCGGGAUGACGGGUUUCGGGUGGUAAACCGAUUUCGAAUGUGACGAAGAGUGAGUGACGGUAAUGGGUAAAGAAGCACCGGCUAACUACGUG
This 468-nucleotide ribosomal RNA is filed under the name uncultured bacterium. RNAcentral describes it as "partial 16S ribosomal RNA". It matches the Rfam family "Bacterial small subunit ribosomal RNA", at positions 28 to 507 of the family's 1533-position model. The record is from RNAcentral.